UCUGAAGGCAGUCAGGUAGGCGG
Molecule: microRNA, 23 nt
Filed under: Mus musculus (house mouse)
Lineage: Eukaryota; Metazoa; Chordata; Mammalia; Rodentia; Muridae
Description: mmu-miR-7049-5p
Source: miRBase by way of RNAcentral